This is a long non-coding RNA of Camelus dromedarius (Arabian camel), 281 nucleotides long. RefSeq lists it as uncharacterized. The record is from RefSeq and is a predicted model, not a curated record. The transcript is spliced from 3 exons. Lineage: Eukaryota; Metazoa; Chordata; Mammalia; Artiodactyla; Camelidae.
GUGCUGGUCACAUAUUUUGUAGAACGCCCCUCUGUGGAAAUUUGCCUGAUUAUUUUCUCACAGUUAGACCGAGGUUGUGAGUUUCAGGAGGAAGAGGACACAGUCCCAGAAUCAGCCAUUUCUCCACGGAACCCUGGCUCCUUUUACAGAAGAAUGGGAUUCACAAACCAAGAUAUGUGUGAUCAUUGCUACCAUAGUGUCAUUUCUUUUGGAUCCUCAUAUUCCACCCCCGACCUCCAGCACUUCAUCAAAAUCGCCGUGUCAGUGUUCCUGCCCGUUCC